Molecule: transfer RNA, 65 nt
Filed under: Methanobacteriota archaeon
Lineage: Archaea; Methanobacteriati; Methanobacteriota
Description: Euryarchaeota archaeon tRNA-Lys
Rfam family: tRNA
About the family: Transfer RNA (tRNA) molecules are approximately 80 nucleotides in length. Their secondary structure includes four short double-helical elements and three loops (D, anti-codon, and T loops).
Source: RNAcentral
CUGUAGCUCAGUCAGGUAGAGCGUCGGACUUUUAAUCCGAUGGUCGCGGGUUCGAACCCCGUCGG